GUCUUCAUGAUGCAAUGGUAGCACACUCGGUUCGUAUUCGAGAGGUCUAGGUUCGAGUCCUGGUGAAGGCA
Molecule: transfer RNA, 71 nt
Filed under: Stegodyphus mimosarum
Lineage: Eukaryota; Metazoa; Arthropoda; Arachnida; Araneae; Eresidae
Rfam family: tRNA
About the family: Transfer RNA (tRNA) molecules are approximately 80 nucleotides in length. Their secondary structure includes four short double-helical elements and three loops (D, anti-codon, and T loops). Further hydrogen bonds mediate the characteristic L-shaped molecular structure. tRNAs have two regions of fundamental functional importance: the anti-codon, which is responsible for specific mRNA codon recognition, and the 3' end, to which the tRNAs corresponding amino acid is attached (by aminoacyl-tRNA synthetases). tRNAs cope with the degeneracy of the genetic code in two manners: having more than one tRNA (with a specific anti-codon) for a particular amino acid; and 'wobble' base-pairing, i.e. permitting non-standard base-pairing at the 3rd anti-codon position.
Source: Rfam by way of RNAcentral